UGCCUAACACAUGCAAGUCGAACGGGCUUGUUUUUUGUAGCAAUACUGAGAGCAAGCUAGUGGCGAACGGGUGAGUAACACGUAGGUAAUCUACCCUUCAGACGGGAACAACCCAGGGAAACUUGGGCUAAUGCCUGAUAAGACCACGGGGCGGGAGCUCUGGGGUCAAAGGCUGGGCGAAAGUCUGGCGCUGGGGGAAGAGCCUGCGGCCUAUCAGCUAGUUGGUGGGGUAAAGGCCUACCAAGGCGAAGACGGGUAGCCGGCCUGAGAGGGUGAUCGGCCACACUGGGACUGAGACACGGCCCAGACUCCUACGGGAGGCAGCAGUGAGGAAUUUUCCGCAAUGGGCGCAAGCCUGACGGAGCGACGCCGCGUGAGGGAUGACGGUCUUCGGAUUGUAAACCUC
This 406-nucleotide ribosomal RNA is filed under the name uncultured organism. Its description in RNAcentral is "bacterial SSU rRNA". It matches the Rfam family "Bacterial small subunit ribosomal RNA", at positions 45 to 433 of the family's 1533-position model. The record is from RNAcentral.